UACGUAGGGUGCGAGCGUUGUCCGGCCUUAUGGGGCGUAAAGGGCUUGUCGGUGGUUUGUCGCGUUGUUCGUGAAAACUCAAGGCUUAACUUUGGGCGUGCGGGCGAUACGGGCAGACUGGAGUACUGCAGGCGAGACUGGAAUUCCUGGUGUAGCGGUGGAAUGCGCAGAUAUCAGGAGGAACACCGGUGGGGGAGGCGGGUCUCUGUGCAGUAACUGAAGCUGAGGAGCGAACGCGUGGGGAGCGAACAGG
This 253-nucleotide ribosomal RNA is filed under the name uncultured bacterium. RNAcentral describes it as "partial 16S ribosomal RNA". It matches the Rfam family "Bacterial small subunit ribosomal RNA", at positions 524 to 776 of the family's 1533-position model. The record is from RNAcentral.